CCAAGGUUAUCCCAUCUCAUCCACCCCAUGUCCGCUUCCAGCUUCUCCACGAAGCUGGGGCACACGGUCAUGCGACAGCCAAGGGCCAUGGCUGCUGAGCCAGUCCCUGGGCAGGCCCAGCACUGCAGCCUUAACGUCAGCAGAACUGGGCAGGACACCAACCUUAAUGGGAUGUGGAUCCCCAUGUUGGACAUCUCUUCACAGAAGAGAAUGUAGUCUCGGCAGCCGGGGCACUCGAAGUACGCAGUGCCAGCACUCAAGGCCUGUUGCUGCAGGAGAAGCACAAGCAGGGUGAGCGUGAGCAGUGCCUGGUGCUGCUGAGCACCGAGCGUGCCUGCAGGGUGCGGGGUGGGCUCCUACCUGGAUGCAGUCCCGGUGGAACCAGACGUGUUUGCAGGCUGGGCACACCAUGGUGUGGUAGGACAAGCUGUCCCCCACAGGCUCCAAGCAGACGAGGCAGAUGGUGCCUUGUGCUGGAGCUUCCUGAGUGGCCUGUUGAGGGCGGUG
Molecule: long non-coding RNA, 507 nt
Filed under: Gallus gallus (chicken)
Lineage: Eukaryota; Metazoa; Chordata; Aves; Galliformes; Phasianidae
Source: RNAcentral